RNAcentral lists this ribosomal RNA (443 nucleotides) under uncultured bacterium. Its description in RNAcentral is "partial 16S ribosomal RNA". It matches the Rfam family "Bacterial small subunit ribosomal RNA", at positions 338 to 795 of the family's 1533-position model. The record is from RNAcentral.
CCUACGGGAGGCAGCAGUGGGGAAUAUUGGACAAUGGGGGGAACCCUGAUACAGCGACGCCGCGUGAGUGAAGAAGUAUUUCGGUAUGUAAAGCUCUAUCAGCAGGGAAGAAAGAAAUGACGGUACCUGACUAAGAAGCCCCGGCUAACUACGUGCCAGCAGCCGCGGUAAUACGUAGGGGGCAAGCGUUAUCCGGAUGUACUGGGUGUAAAGGGAGCGUAGACGGCGAUGCAAGUCAGAUGUGAAAUCCACGGGCUCAACCCGUGAACUGCAUUUGAAACUGUUUCCCUUGAGUGUCGGAGAGGUAAUCGGAAUUCCUUGUGUAGCGGUGAAAUGCGUAGAUAUAAGGAAGAACACCAGUGGCGAAGGCGGAUUACUGGACGAUAACUGACGGUGAGGCGCGAAAGCGUGGGGAGCAAACAGGAUUAGAUACCCGAGUAGUC